GGCUCCUGCCUUUCCACAGAAAGAGAGGGAGGGAGGGAAGAAGAGAGAGAGAGAAGUUCUAGUUUCUAAAAUAAAUGAAUUAAGGAAAGGGGGUGGAGAAGAGGAGAGGAACCGUCUGUUACUUUCAAUAGGGAUAAAUAAGCCUCCUCGUUAGCUUCUGAGACAGUGAGUGGCAGAUGAGAAAUGAGUGGGUCAUGGGUCAAGAAGCCAAUCUGUGCUCCCUGGGUGGGGUGGACCUUGAGGGGAAGUCUCAGGAAGUUCCACAGGAAGGCUGACUGUGGGUUGCGUGGGUUGAUUCCUAUGAACCUGGUAAGUCUGGCUCAGGGGACUGUGAGAGCCAGCUUCUCUUCUUUGGUAUCUAUUGCCAUAGAAACAGGUACUAUUGGGCCUCAGCACUCUGAGUAGGAGCUAGGGUUCCCUUUUGGCAAAAGGUUUGGGGAGUAAGGGAAGGGAAACCUGAAGGCAAAGCUGAUCUCCCCUCUUCUACCCUUCUCUCCUUUCUUCCUUCUUAUCUUCUUUCCUCUCUUUCCUAACCAAGGAGUGGCUAAUGUCCGCACGUACUGUUUCGCAGGCGUUUCCUAAACAAUAUCAAAGGAUCAUAAGUUCAUGUUUGCACGCAUUUAUCUUCCACUUCUGAAAACUUCCUGGUUAAGCAGAUCUGGCAGUGAAGUGUUAUGGCACAUGUCUACUGAAGACCAGCUGAGACAUCUAGCCUUGUGGAAAUAACAACUACUGGAUUCUUGGACAUUCCAUUGGUAGACAACCAUUGUUGGACUAGCUGGACCACAGCCUGUUUGGUGAGACAUCCUAUGUCAGAAGGUGUGUAGUGGCUGUGCAGACUCUCAGAGAGGCACAGAACCUUCAUCUGGUGAUGGAUGGAGAUAGAGACAGAGACCCACACUGGAGCACCGGACUGAGCUCCCAAGGUCCCAAUGAGAAGCAGAUGGAGGGAGAACACGAGCAAGGAUGUCAGGACCACGAGGGGUGCACCCACCCACUGAGACAGUGGGGCUGAUCUAUUGGGAGCUCACCAAAGCCAGCUGGACUGUGACUGAAACAGCAUGGGAUAAAACCGGACUCUCUGAUCAUGGCGAACAAUGAGGACUGAUGAGAAGCUAACACACCAAUUUUAAUGAAGGAAAAAAGUAUAACAAUUGCUCCUCUUAAAGUUGAAAACAUCAUAUGAAUUUGAGGAAGGCAGAGGUAGCAAGGCUUGGUGGAGGACCAUUUAGCUCUCUGCGCUGCUAGUUUUAUGUUCACUUGACACAAGCUGGAAUCUAUAGAGGGAGCCUCAACAGGAAAAAUGCCUCCAUAUGAUCUGGCUUUAAGGCAUUUUCUUAAUUAGUGAUUGAUGCAGAGGGUUCAUCCCAUUGUGGGUAGAGUCACCCCUGGGCUGGUGGUUCUGGAUUCUAUAAGAAAGCAGGCUGAGCAAGCCAUGAGGAGUAAGCCACCAAGCAGCAUUCCUCCAUGGCCUCUGCAUCAGCUCCUGGCUCCGGGUUUCUGCCCUGUUUGAGUUCCUAUCCUGACUUCCUUUGAUAAUAAACUGUGAUGCAGAAACAUAAGCUGAAUAAAUCCCCAAGUUGCUUCUUUGGUCAUGGUGUUUCAUCACAGCAAUUAAAACCUUAACUAAGACACUCUCUUAUGACAGAAGGCUUCUGUUAUGAUCUAUGUAAGAGCUCAGGGGAUAAGCAGCCUGUUUUCUGUAUUCUCCUGUGGUAUUGCACUCUAGAGAGGAGAGACUUGCUCCAGACACAGGACUGAGUAAGGUGUCUCUUGAACAUCAGGACUCUCUACUGAUUGUUGGGGUUAUCUACCAUUGAUGUAUUACACAUAGAGAAGUUAGAUUAGUACACAAGGAUGGUAUCCAAAUAUGAAAUAAAACUCAGAGGAUACUGGGGCCUAAGGAA
Long non-coding RNA from Alexandromys fortis (reed vole), 1907 nucleotides. RefSeq lists it as uncharacterized. The transcript is spliced from 4 exons. The record is from RefSeq and is a predicted model, not a curated record. NCBI's taxonomy places the organism in Eukaryota, Metazoa, Chordata, Mammalia, Rodentia, Cricetidae.